RNAcentral lists this small RNA (126 nucleotides) under Klebsiella michiganensis. RNAcentral's name for it is "partial RtT sRNA". It matches the Rfam family "RtT RNA". Rfam says of the family: This family represents a bacterial cis-regulatory element known as RtT RNA. The exact function of RtT is unknown although it is thought that it may be involved in changing the cellular response in relation to amino acid starvation. The record is from RNAcentral. Lineage: Bacteria; Pseudomonadati; Pseudomonadota; Gammaproteobacteria; Enterobacterales; Enterobacteriaceae.
UAUCCAUCCCAUGCGGGAAGGAUGAGAAGCUUCGACUAAGGUUCGAUUCGAGCGGAGCGAGAAAGAGUUGCCGCAGGCAACGACCCGAAGGGCGAGGCGCAACGCGCCGAGUAAUCCUUCCCCCAC